This 492-nucleotide ribosomal RNA is filed under the name uncultured bacterium. RNAcentral's name for it is "partial 16S ribosomal RNA". It matches the Rfam family "Bacterial small subunit ribosomal RNA", at positions 29 to 507 of the family's 1533-position model. The record is from RNAcentral.
AGUGAACGCUGGCGGUAGGCCUAACACAUGCAAGUCGAACGGCAGCACAGUAAGAGCUUGCUCUUACGGGUGGCGAGUGGCGGACGGGUGAGGAAUACAUCGGAAUCUACUUUUUCGUGGGGGAUAACGUAGGGAAACUUACGCUAAUACCGCAUACGACCUACGGGUGAAAGCAGGGGAUCUUCGGACCUUUCGCGAUUGAAUGAGCCGAUGUCGGAUUAGCUAGUUGGCGGGGUAAAGGCCCACCAAGGCGACGAUCCGUAGCUGGUCUGAGAGGAUGAUCAGCCACACUGGAACUGAGACACGGUCCAGACUCCUACGGGAGGCAGCAGUGGGGAAUAUUGGACAAUGGGCGCAAGCCUGAUCCAGCCAUCCCGCGUGGGUGAAGAAGGCCUUCGGGUUGUAAAGCCCUUUUGUUGGGAAAGAAAAGCAGCAGGUUAAUACCCCGCUGUUCUGACGGUACCCAAAGAAUAAGCACCGGCUAACUUCGUG